AACGUACGCUGGCGGCACGCCUAACACAUGCAAGUCGAACGAAGUAGCAAUACUUAGUGGCAGACGGGUGAGUAACAUGUGGGUAUCUGCCCUUUGGCCUGGAAUAACACGAGGAAACUUGUGCUAAUACCGGAUAAGUCUUUACGGAGAAAGCUUUAUGCACCAUUGGAUGAGCCUGCACUUGAUUAGUUUGUUGGUGGGGUAAUGGCCUACCAAGACUGUGAUCAAUAGCUGAUUUGAGAGGAUGAUCAGCCACAUUGGGACUGAGACACGGCCCAAACUCCUACGGGAGGCAGCAGUGGGGAAUCUUGCACAAUGGAGGAAACUCUGAUGCAGCGAUGCCGCGUGAGUGAAGAAGGCCCUUGGGUUGUAAAGCUCUUUCGUCGGGGAAGAAAAUGACUGUACCCGAAUAAGAAGGUCCGGCUAACUUCGUGCCAGCAGCCGCGGUAAUACGAAGGGGGCUAGCGUAGUUCGGAAUUACUGGGCUUAAAGAGUUCGUAGGUGGUUGAAAAAGUUAGUGGUGAAAUCCCAGAGCUUAACUCUGGAACUGCCAUUAAAACUUUUCAGCUAGAGUAUGAUAGAGGAAAGCAGAAUUUCUAGUGUAGAGGUGAAAUUCGUAGAUAUUAGAAAGAACACCAAUGGCGAAGGCGGCUCUACUGGAUCAUUACUGA
This 671-nucleotide ribosomal RNA is filed under the name alpha proteobacterium IMCC14420. RNAcentral's name for it is "bacterial SSU rRNA". It matches the Rfam family "Bacterial small subunit ribosomal RNA", at positions 28 to 743 of the family's 1533-position model. Lineage: Bacteria; Pseudomonadati; Pseudomonadota; Alphaproteobacteria. The record is from RNAcentral.